UACAUGGGGUGCAAACGUUGCUCGGAAUUAUUGGGCGUAAAGCGCGCGUAGGCGGUUACUCAAGUCGGAUGUGAAAGCCCUCGGCUUAACUGAGGAAGUGCACCCGAAACUGAGUAGCUAGAGUACCAAAGAGGGUCGCGGAAUUCCCGGUGUAGAGGUGAAAUUCGUAGAUAUCGGGAGGAACACCGGUGGCGAAGGCGGCGACCUGGGUGGAUACUGACGCUGAGGCACGAAAGCGUGGGGAGCAAACAGG
This 253-nucleotide ribosomal RNA is filed under the name uncultured bacterium. RNAcentral's name for it is "partial 16S ribosomal RNA". It matches the Rfam family "Bacterial small subunit ribosomal RNA", at positions 524 to 776 of the family's 1533-position model. The record is from RNAcentral.